GAGAAAACCAAUAAGAAUAAAGCUGUAAGCAUGAAAUUUAAAUUUUUAAUAAAUUAAUAAUUAGCUGUAAUAUCCUUUCAUUUCCCUUCCGUCCAAAAAUCUCCAUCUCUGGUACUUGAACCAAGUAAGCUUGGAUGAAACAGAUUCCAUGAAUUAUCUGUACAAUCGAUCUUUAAGUUAAUAUCUGAUCUAUUGUACAAAUUAUUAAUGUCCCUUAGUCCCA
Molecule: non-coding RNA, 223 nt
Filed under: Cryptosporidium parvum
Lineage: Eukaryota; Apicomplexa; Conoidasida; Eucoccidiorida; Cryptosporidiidae
Source: RNAcentral